RNAcentral lists this ribosomal RNA (626 nucleotides) under Moesziomyces aphidis. RNAcentral's name for it is "partial large subunit ribosomal RNA". It matches the Rfam family "Eukaryotic large subunit ribosomal RNA", at positions 49 to 656 of the family's 3401-position model. The record is from RNAcentral. Lineage: Eukaryota; Fungi; Basidiomycota; Ustilaginomycetes; Ustilaginales; Ustilaginaceae.
AGCGGAGGAAAAGAAACUAACAAGGAUUCCCCUAGUAACGGCGAGUGAAGAGGGAAGAGCCCAAGAUUGAAAGCUGGCGUCUUCGGCGUCCGCAUUGUAAUCUCAAGAAGUGUUUUCCGCUUCGGACCAAGCCUAAGUCCCUUGGAAAAGGGCAUCAUAGAGGGUGAUAAUCCCGUACAUGGCUUGGAGCGCCCGAAGCUUUGUGAUACGCUUUCUAAGAGUCGAGUUGUUUGGGAAUGCAGCUCAAAAUGGGUGGUAAAUGCCAUCUAAGGCUAAAUAUUGGGGAGAGACCGAUAGCGAACAAGUACAGUGAUGGAAAGAUGAAAAGAACUUUGAAAAGAGAGUUAAACAGUACGUGAAAUUGCCAAAAGGGAAGGGUAGGAGGUCAGAGAUGCGGCCUGGGAUUCAGCCUUGCUUUUGCUUGGUGUUUUUCCCAGAUUGCAGGCCAACGUCGGUUUUGGGCACUGGAGAAGGGUAGGAGGAACGUGGCACCUCUCGGGGUGUGUUAUAGCCUCCUACUGGAUACAGCGACCGAGACCGAGGACAGCAGCGUACUCGCAAGAGCGGGCCUUCGGGCACCUUUACGCUUAGGGCGUUGGCAUAAUGGCCCUCUACCACCCGUCUUG